GCUCUUGAGCCAAGCCCACAAAAAAAUACACGAAAGUUAUCACCAGAGCUAUGGAGUCUGAGUUGCGGAGUUGAGACAUUUUCAGCAGAGUCGGAGUUGCUAAACAAAAUUGCGACUCCGACUCCAAUAGCAAAACUUCCCGGUAUUGUACGUGCAUGUACAAAACAUUCAAUUAACCUUAUGUUCAUACUAAACCUCAAAGAACGUUUCAUAAACUUGUCAAAAAAGAAAUUUUUAAUUUAUCCCGUAAUAUUUUUUAAAGAAUUUGAAGAAUUUUUCAAAAAUAUUGCUUUGGAGUUGUAAUCGAAGUCGGAGUUGUGCUCAAAAAAUUUCAACAACUGGAGUCGGAGUUGGAGUUGUACUCAAAAAGUUUCAACAACUGGAGUCGGAGUCAUUACUUUUUUUUUACAACUACACACCCCUGGUUAUCAGUAACGGUUUCCAAUCUGCCUCUUUUGCCUUUGUCUGAUUCUACAGAUAAAGUUUUAGCUGAUU
Hydra vulgaris (swiftwater hydra) is the source of this 495-nucleotide non-coding RNA. Lineage: Eukaryota; Metazoa; Cnidaria; Hydrozoa; Anthoathecata; Hydridae. The record is from RefSeq and is a predicted model, not a curated record.